GUCCACGCCGUAAACGAUGGAUACUAGCUGUUGGGAGCAAUCUCAGUGGCUAAGCGAAAGUGAUAAGUAUCCCACCUGGGGAGUACGUUCGCAAGAAUGAAACUCAAAGGAAUUGACGGGGCCCGCACAAGCGGUGGAGCAUGUGGUUUAAUUCGAUGAUACGCGAGGAACCUUACCAAGGCUUAAAUGUAGAUUGACAGAUUUGGAAACAGAUUUUUCUUUCGGACAAUUUACAAGGUGCUGCAUGGUUGUCGU
RNAcentral lists this ribosomal RNA (255 nucleotides) under uncultured bacterium. RNAcentral describes it as "partial 16S ribosomal RNA". It matches the Rfam family "Bacterial small subunit ribosomal RNA", at positions 793 to 1055 of the family's 1533-position model. The record is from RNAcentral.